UAACUGAAGAUUAACUUUCACACAACUUUUCACCAUCUGUUUUAAGAGGGGAAAUUAAAUUUAUACAUUCAUAAAAGAUACUGAGCAUAAUUUAAACUCUGUAAAGUCACCACGAGCAUCCUUUAGAUACAUACUCUCACCUAGCACACACUGGCCUCAGUGGCUGCCUCAACAUAUCAGUGCACCGAGAAGACAGGAUUCUUGUUCUCACGGGUCCAGCGCUGCUCUGAUUUGUGUAAUUACCUUGAGCUCUGAUAGAUGAUCUCACAGACUGACAGAGACUUGGGGCUCCUUGGGACCCUGUAGGACUAGGAACUGCAUGUGAGUCCAUCCCUCAGGCUGUCCCAAGAAUUCUUGUCCUCUCUGGCUGAUCUUUCAUGUUGGGGGGGGGGGUGAAGUGACUUUAUUUCUGGCAAAUAUAUUGGCUGUGCAGCUUGUUAGGAGAUUCUUAAGUGUGCUUAUAGUCAUUGAAGUGAGACUUUUUUUUUUGGCCUGAGUAUUAGGUCUCAAAUGCAGCUAAGAAGAUGAUUUGUUUUUGUCAAGUUGAAAAUUAUUUGAGCAACUAAUUAGAUCAAGUAACGUUACCCUCUUUUUACAUUUUUUUGGUAAGGAGGAUAUAAUAUUAGAUCAUGUAUAUUCUGGUAAUGAGCUGAGUUUUUUGUCUUUGUUUCUGCAGAGUGUCAUGGAAAACAGUGACAGGUGUGCCUUGUCGUCUCCAUCUGUAGCCUUCACACCACCCAUCAAAACCUUAGGGACACCAGCCCAACCUGGAAGUACUCCUGGAAUUUCCACCAUGAGGCCUCUUGCCACAGCGUACAAAGCAUCGACCAGUGACUAUCAGGUUAUUUCUGAUAGACAGACACCAAAAAAAGAUGACAGCAUCGUGUCCAGAGCAAUGGAGUACAUGUUUGGCUGGUAGCGUGAUGAAAACUAAGACUCAAGCCCCGUGGAGACGACUGUGCCCUGAACAGUGAGCAGAGGCCCCGCCACCGGCUUCCCCAAUUGCGUGACACGCUGGGCAGCACUGGGCCGCUAGCUCAUCUUUCCUGUCGGAGGUUUUCUCCUUAAAGUAUACACAGCACAUUGGGAGCUUGCGUUUUAAAAGAUGCGAAGAAACAAAACAUGCCUGUUAGUAGAAUUUUGUGUUUUCUGUAAUAGUUGCACAUGCUAGCGGACAGGAAAACUAAGGAUUGGUGAUUGCCCACUAACUGCAGGACACUUUAUGGUGUGACUGUGUCUGCUUCAUGAAUUGGUGGGGAGGACUCCCUGGAGGACAGCUUACCAGCUGCUCCUGACAAGAUGCAGAUCAUAAGUAACAGUUUGCAUCAUGGUGUUUUAAUUUAGGUAGUAUUUAAUAUUUUAAUUAUCCUUCUUUGUAUAUGUCUUGUCUUAGAUCGUCAUCUUUCCAUAUUCUAAAGCCAAAAAUUCUUUUUAAAAUCAAACUAACAUUUCUUAAUAAUAAACUUUGCCUCUUCUAUGAAUUGAA
Molecule: long non-coding RNA, 1486 nt
Organism: Erinaceus europaeus (western European hedgehog)
Lineage: Eukaryota; Metazoa; Chordata; Mammalia; Eulipotyphla; Erinaceidae
Exons: 2
Source: RefSeq, a predicted model, not a curated record